CCAAUAGCGUAUAUUAAAGUUGUUGCAGUUAAAAAGCUCGUAGUUGAAUUUCAGGCCUGGCUGGACGGUCCGCCCUUCGGGUGAGUACUGUCUGUGGUCGGGUCCUACCUUCUGGCGAAGCGUCAUGGCCUUAACCGGCCGUGGCGGGGAACCAGGACUUUUACUGUGAAAAAAUUAGAGUGUUCAAAGCAGGCAAUCGCUUGGAUACAUUAGCAUGGAAUAAUGGAAUAGGACAAUGGUUCUAUUUGUUGGUUUCUAGGACCGUUGUAAUGAUUAAGAGGGAUAGUUGGGGGAAUUAGUAUUCAAUUGUCAGAGGUGAAAUUCUUGGAUUUAUUGAAGACUAACUACUGCGAAAGCAUUUGCCAAGGAUGUUUUCAUUAAUCAAGAACGAAAGUUAGGGAAUCGAAGACGAUCAGAUACCGUCGUAGUCUUAACCAUAAACUAUGCCGACUAGGAAUCGGGCGAUGUUGAAAAAAUGACGCGCUCGGCACCUCAUG
RNAcentral lists this ribosomal RNA (497 nucleotides) under uncultured Glomeromycotina. Its description in RNAcentral is "partial small subunit ribosomal RNA". It matches the Rfam family "Eukaryotic small subunit ribosomal RNA", at positions 591 to 1092 of the family's 1831-position model. The record is from RNAcentral. Lineage: Eukaryota; Fungi; Glomeromycota.